AGAGUUUGAUCAUGGCUCAGAGUGAACGCUGGCGGCGUGCCUAACACAUGCAAGUCGAACGAGAACGGCCCUAGCUUGCUAGGGUGUCAGCUCAGUGGCGCACGGGUGAGUAAUGUAUAGGUAACAUGCCCCUCGGAGGGGGAUAACGGCUGGAAACGGCCGCUAAUACCCCAUACUCCUUUGCAGCGGAAGCUGUAGAGGGAAACGGUGCAUUCUGCCGAGGGAUUGGCCUGUAUCGUAUCAGCUAGUUGGUGGGGUAAUGGCCUACCAAGGCGAUGACGCGUAGCUGGUCUGAGAGGAUGAUCAGCCACACUGGAACUGAGACACGGUCCAGACUCCUACGGGAGGCAGCAGUGGGGAAUAUUGCGCAAUGGGGGGAACCCUGACGCAGCAACGCCGCGUGGAGGAUGACGCAUUUCGGUGUGUAAACUCCUUUUCUGCCGGAAGAUGAUGACGGUAUGGCAGA
Molecule: ribosomal RNA, 466 nt
Filed under: uncultured bacterium
Lineage: Bacteria
Description: bacterial SSU rRNA
Rfam family: Bacterial small subunit ribosomal RNA
Source: RNAcentral